RNAcentral lists this ribosomal RNA (429 nucleotides) under Actinomycetes bacterium. RNAcentral's name for it is "Actinobacteria bacterium partial 16S ribosomal RNA". It matches the Rfam family "Bacterial small subunit ribosomal RNA", at positions 355 to 776 of the family's 1533-position model. Lineage: Bacteria; Bacillati; Actinomycetota; Actinomycetes. The record is from RNAcentral.
UAGGGAAUCUUCCGCAAUGGGCGAAAGCCUGACGGAGCAACGCCGCGUGAGUGAUGAAGGUCUUCGGAUCGUAAAACUCUGUUAUUAGGGAAGAACAAAUGUGUAAGUAACUAUGCACGUCUUGACGGUACCUAAUCAGAAAGCCACGGCUAACUACGUGCCAGCAGCCGCGGUAAUACGUAGGUGGCAAGCGUUAUCCGGAAUUAUUGGGCGUAAAGCGCGCGUAGGCGGUUUUUUAAGUCUGAUGUGAAAGCCCACGGCUCAACCGUGGAGGGUCAUUGGAAACUGGAAAACUUGAGUGCAGAAGAGGAAAGUGGAAUUCCAUGUGUAGCGGUGAAAUGCGCAGAGAUAUGGAGGAACACCAGUGGCGAAGGCGACUUUCUGGUCUGUACCUGACGCUGAUGUGCGACAGCGUGGGGAUCAAACAGG